AACAUGUCUUGGUAGUGGGUUAUCAGAACUUAUUAAGAUUAGCGUCACUAAAGUUGGUAUUCAACCCCCCACUGCUAAAUUUGACUGGCUUUAA
This 94-nucleotide Y RNA is filed under the name Microcebus murinus (gray mouse lemur). RNAcentral's name for it is "Y RNA (ENSMICG00000019824.3)". It matches the Rfam family "Y RNA". From Rfam's summary of the family: Y RNAs are components of the Ro ribonucleoprotein particle (Ro RNP), in association with Ro60 and La proteins. The Y RNAs and Ro60 and La proteins are well conserved, but the function of the Ro RNP is not known. The record is from Rfam by way of RNAcentral. Lineage: Eukaryota; Metazoa; Chordata; Mammalia; Primates; Cheirogaleidae.